CCUACGGGUGGCUGCAGUGGGGGAUAUUGCACAAUGGGGGAAACCCUGAUGCAGCGACGCCGCGUGGGGGAAGGAGUGCUUCGGCAUGUAAAGCUCUAUCGGCAGGGAAGAAGCAAGACGGUACCUGACUAAGAAGCCCCGGCUAACUACGUGCCAGCAGCCGCGGUAAUACGGAGGGGGCGAGCGUUAUCCGGAUUCAAUGGGCGGAAGGGGAGCGUAGUCGGCCAGGAAAGCCAGGGGUGAAAGCCCGGGGCCCAACCCCGGGACUGCCCUUGCAACUGCAUGGCUGGAGUGCGGGAGGGGCAGGCGGAAUUCGUGGUGUAGCGGUGAAAUGCGUAGAUAUCAGGAGGAACACCGGCGGCGAAGGCGGCCUGCUGGACCGCGACUGACGUUGAGGCUCGAAAGCGUGGGGAGCGAACAGGAUUAGAUACCCUUGUAGUC
Molecule: ribosomal RNA, 441 nt
Filed under: uncultured bacterium
Lineage: Bacteria
Description: partial 16S ribosomal RNA
Rfam family: Bacterial small subunit ribosomal RNA
Source: RNAcentral